AAAGAAAUGGCUGGGUCAUACGGUGGUUCUAUUCCUAAUUUUCUGAGGAAUCUCCACAUUGCUUUACAGAGUGAUUGUACUCAUUUGCAGUCCCACCAACAAU
This 103-nucleotide microRNA precursor is filed under the name Marmota monax (woodchuck). Lineage: Eukaryota; Metazoa; Chordata; Mammalia; Rodentia; Sciuridae. The record is from RNAcentral.